CCUACGGGCGCUGCAGUGGGGAAUAUUGGACAAUGGGCGAAAGCCUGAUCCAGCCAUGCCGCGUGUGUGAAGAAGGCCUUCGGGUUGUAAAGCACUUUCAGUGGGGAAGAAAGCCUUGGGGCUAAUACCCUCGAGGAAGGACAUCACCCACAGAAGAAGCACCGGCUAACUCCGUGCCAGCAGCCGCGGUAAUACGGAGGGUGCGAGCGUUAAUCGGAAUUACUGGGCGUAAAGCGCGCGUAGGCGGUCUGAUAAGCCGGUUGUGAAAGCCCCGGGUUCAACCUGGGAACGGCAUCCGGAACUGUCAGGCUAGAGUGCAGGAGAGGAAGGUAGAAUUCCCGGUGUAGCGGUGAAAUGCGUAGAGAUCGGGAGGAAUACCAGUGGCGAAGGCGGCCUUCUGGACUGACACUGACGCUGAGGUGCGAAAGCGUGGGUAGCAAACAGGAUUAGAUACCCCGUGUAGUC
RNAcentral lists this ribosomal RNA (465 nucleotides) under Vreelandella stevensii. RNAcentral's name for it is "partial 16S ribosomal RNA". It matches the Rfam family "Bacterial small subunit ribosomal RNA", at positions 338 to 795 of the family's 1533-position model. The record is from RNAcentral. Lineage: Bacteria; Pseudomonadati; Pseudomonadota; Gammaproteobacteria; Oceanospirillales; Halomonadaceae.